CGCCGGCGGUGGUGGUGGUGGGCUGGGGCUCGAGGAAGAGGGCACGCCAAGGAGGGGCCGGAGGGACGGCGGCGGGUUGGAGGUGGUCGGCGCGGAGGGUGGUGUAGGGCGGCCGUCGGGUCUUUGCAGCGCGGCGGACGGCGGGGAUGGAUCGUCGUGCUGGGGCUGAUGAAGGUGGUGGGCACAACAACGCGAGGAGGGCGCAUACCGGUGGUCGCAAUCUAGGUUGGUGGCGUCUCGGGACGUAGCGGUUGGUGGCGGAUGUCGCGACCUAGGCCAGCAGGGGCUGGUAGAUGGUGGAAGAAGAUGGAACUCGGCAUCCUCUCUGGGGGGGAGAGAAACAUCAAGCCGCGACCUUCGGUCCGAGUACCUGGUACGGCGGCACUGGCCUACCCGGCAAGAGGAGGAGGGAAGAAGGAGUGUACGCUCGUACGCGUUGAGUGUACAGCGAGUGAAGAGACAACUCCUCACGUCAAGUAGCCACCCCGUCAGACCGACCGCCGGUACACAACAAGAACGAGGAUGGAGCCUAGGUUAAGAGGUACUGUAGGUAUCUUCCUUUUUCUUAGAGUAGAGGUUUCACAAGUCACGUCUCUUCUACUUGGUACGUUUUUGAGUUCCACCUAGUACCACCGAAGUGACGACCGCCUUGCUGUCUCCCAAACUUACGAUGGUCCCACUAAGUUUCCCUCAUAUAUCCAAUCUGCUCGGCGACUGUUUCUGUCCGGAGAUAAGAUUUAAAAAUGAACGUUUCUACCUGGUAGUCGAUGUAUUAUACAACCGAUUUGAGAGUGUCCAAACCUCAGCUGGUUCCUUCAGUGUCAAAUUCUCGAGCUCCUCCUCCCCGCACACCUCCAAGGGCGGCGGUCACCGACGUGACGACCAGAAGCAGCGGACGAGGACAGUCUAGGUCGUACUGGAUGGGAUAGCUAAGAGGCAGCGAAGUGAGACGAAGUACACGUAUACACGUCUCUUCUACUGCUGGGACGGGGACAAGAAGCGGUCGGUGUGAGAGGGAAUACGCAAGAACGGACGCCCGUUCAAAAACAUACAAGUAGAUUAUUACCUUUUCUAAGUUUGGAAGUUAAAACAUCCUUGCUAAAAUAACGAGCUCAUU
Molecule: ribosomal RNA, 1117 nt
Filed under: Triticum aestivum (bread wheat)
Lineage: Eukaryota; Viridiplantae; Streptophyta; Magnoliopsida; Poales; Poaceae
Description: partial small subunit ribosomal RNA
Source: RNAcentral